Molecule: transfer RNA, 86 nt
Filed under: Candidatus Dojkabacteria bacterium HGW-Dojkabacteria-1
Lineage: Bacteria
Description: tRNA-Ser
Rfam family: tRNA
About the family: Transfer RNA (tRNA) molecules are approximately 80 nucleotides in length. Their secondary structure includes four short double-helical elements and three loops (D, anti-codon, and T loops).
Source: RNAcentral
GGAGAGGUGCUAGAGUGGUCGAAUAGGGUACUCUCGAAAAGUGCUGUACGGUUUCCGUACCGUGGGUUCGAAUCCCACCCUCUCCG